Molecule: unclassified non-coding RNA, 330 nt
Filed under: rhizosphere metagenome
Description: partial ribosomal RNA internal transcribed spacer region
Source: RNAcentral
GUAGGUGAACCUGCGGAAGGAUCAUUAACACGUACCCUUUCAAAUAUAAACCUUUCUACUCGCCCUGUCUAGCAAUAGGCAGGGUGGCGAACUAUUGAAGGCUUUCUUCCGAUGGCGAGUAAAAUCGUCGUUGGCCCUGUAUCUAAGAUGGAUAGAUGCCGACAGGGAGCGGGAAGUCGGUUGGCAGCAUCUCGGUGCUGUCGGCUAAAUCGUGCAUUUGUCCAAUUAUUAACCACAACAUACAUUUUUGUCAGAAACUUGUCGAUCUCAGAAAUGGGUGAGACUAUAAAAAAAUCUACACAACUUUUAGCAAUGGAUGUCUAGGUUCUC